ACAACAUUCGGACUGUCGGUCUACCGAGCAAUAUUACACGUUUGUUGGAAGAUCUUCCCUUUUGUCGU
RNAcentral lists this microRNA precursor (68 nucleotides) under Bombyx mori (domestic silkworm). Its description in RNAcentral is "mir-2774 microRNA precursor family". It matches the Rfam family "mir-2774 microRNA precursor family". The record is from Rfam by way of RNAcentral. Lineage: Eukaryota; Metazoa; Arthropoda; Insecta; Lepidoptera; Bombycidae.